UUGACGGGACCGCACAAGCGGUGGAUGAUGUGGAUUAAUUCGAUGCAACGCGAAAAACCUUACCUACCCUUGACAUGUCCGGAAUCCCGAAGAGAUUUGGGAGUGCUCGCAAGAGAGCCGGAACACAGGUGCUGCAUGGCUGUCGUCAGCUCGUGUCGUGAGAUGUUGGGUUAAGUCCCGCAACGAGCGCAACCCUUGUCAUUAGUUGCCAUCAUUUGGUUGGGCACUCUAAUGAGACUGCCGGUGACAAACCGGAGGAAGGUGGGGAUGACGUCAAGUCCUCAUGGCCCUUAUGGGUAGGGCUUCACACGUCAUACAAUGGUCGGUACAGAGGGUUGCCAACCCGCGAGGGGGAGCUAAUCCCACAAAGCCGAUCGUAGUCCGGAUCGCAGUCUGCAACUCGACUGCGUGAAGUCGGAAUCGCUAGUAAUCGUGGAUCAGAAUGUCACGGUGAAUACGUUCCCGGGUCUU
RNAcentral lists this ribosomal RNA (471 nucleotides) under uncultured Rhodocyclaceae bacterium. Its description in RNAcentral is "bacterial SSU rRNA". It matches the Rfam family "Bacterial small subunit ribosomal RNA", at positions 910 to 1382 of the family's 1533-position model. The record is from RNAcentral. Lineage: Bacteria; Pseudomonadati; Pseudomonadota; Betaproteobacteria; Rhodocyclales; Rhodocyclaceae.